RNAcentral lists this ribosomal RNA (449 nucleotides) under uncultured bacterium. RNAcentral describes it as "bacterial SSU rRNA". It matches the Rfam family "Bacterial small subunit ribosomal RNA", at positions 328 to 793 of the family's 1533-position model. The record is from RNAcentral.
CGUCCAGACUCCUACGGGAGGCAGCAGUGGGGGAUAUUGCACAAUGGGGGGAACCCUGAUGCAGCGACGCCGCGUGGGUGAAGGAGUGCUUCGGCAUGUAAAGCCCUAUCGGCAGGGAAGAAGCAAGACGGUACCUGACUAAGAAGCCCCGGCUAACUACGUGCCAGCAGCCGCGGUAAUACGUAGGGGGCGAGCGUUAUCCGGAUUCACUGGGUGUAAAGGGAGCGUAGACGGCCAUGCAAGCCAGGGGUGAAAGCCCGGGGCCCAACCCCGGGACUGCCCUUGGAACUGCCGGGCUAGAGUGCAGGAGGGGCAGGCGGAAUUCCUAGUGUAGCGGUGAAAUGCGUAGAUAUUAGGAGGAACACCAGUGGCGAAGGCGGCCUGCUGGACUGCAACUGACGUUGAGGCUCGAAGGCGUGGGGAGCAAACAGGAUUAGAUACCCGGGUAA